UGAGGAAUAUUGGUCAAUGGACGAGAGUCUGAACCAGCCAAGUCGCGUGAAGGAUGACGGCCCUACGGGUUGUAAACUUCUUUUGUAUGGGAGUAAAAAAGACUACGCGUAGUCUAUUGCAAGUACCAUACGAAUAAGCAUCGGCUAACUCCGUGCCAGCAGCCGCGGUAAUACGGAGGAUGCAAGCGUUAUCCGGAUUUAUUGGGUUUAAAGGGUGCGUAGGCGGGAUGAUAAGUCAGCGGUGAAAGUUUGAGGCUCAACCUUAAAAUUGCCGUUGAAACUGUUUUCUUGAGUAUAUUUGAAGUAGGCGGAAUUCGUGGUGUAGCGGUGAAAUGCAUAGAUAUCACGAAGAACUCCAAUUUGCGAAGGCAGCUUUACUUAAACUAUAACUGACGCUGAAGCACGAAAGCGUGGGUAUCAAACA
RNAcentral lists this ribosomal RNA (424 nucleotides) under uncultured Dysgonomonas sp. RNAcentral's name for it is "bacterial SSU rRNA". It matches the Rfam family "Bacterial small subunit ribosomal RNA", at positions 355 to 774 of the family's 1533-position model. Lineage: Bacteria; Pseudomonadati; Bacteroidota; Bacteroidia; Bacteroidales; Dysgonomonadaceae. The record is from RNAcentral.